GGGGCCGGCCGGAGAGAGGGCUCUUUCCUGAGAGGCUGGACUUUCCCACAGGAACAAAGUGGGGCUUGUUAGCUGGGCAUGAAUCUUGGCGUGGGGCGGCCGGGGCCAGGCUCAGCGCUGCCAGGCGGCGGCUCCGCGAUAUCAGGCAAAUUCCGCCUUCCCCACAGCUGGGGCUGACAGCAGGAAGCCCCAGGGAGGCUCCGGACAAAGGCAGAAAAAUGGGCCACGUUUAUUCAUUCACUGACCAGCCCGGGCCUGGCUGGCCCAGGGGCCCUGUCUCCAUGGCUACGGGCAGCCUUCAGUGCUCCUGGUUGGCUCCUCUGUGACCACAGCCCCUCCACGGCCACACACCCCAACACACAGAGACACAGCAUCAUGAAGGCAGAGGCUGCCUCGGGACGGCUCUACCCCGGGGAGUGUGGGGCCAUCUGAGCCAAACAGAAUCGAGGGCUUGGACACAACCCAGGGUGUGAGUUGAGCUCUGAAUGUCAAGACCAGUCCUGGGUGAGGAAACUGAAGCUCUGAGAGCAGUAGCUCCCCUAAGCCACACAGCUGGAGAGCGCUGAGCCAACGGCAGAGCUGGGGCUUUUUGAAGGCGCACAGAGGAAAGGUUUGCUCUCCUUGCCGAGUUUCCUCAUGCUCAUUUCCACCCCCAGCCCUCAGAGCGUGACAUUGUUGAUCUUCAUCCUGAAGUGUCGCCUGAGUCUCCUUCACCUGGUUAUGCUACCCAUAAAAUAAAAUAAAGGAAGAAAA
Macaca mulatta (Rhesus monkey) is the source of this 753-nucleotide non-coding RNA. The record is from RefSeq and is a predicted model, not a curated record. NCBI's taxonomy places the organism in Eukaryota, Metazoa, Chordata, Mammalia, Primates, Cercopithecidae.